This 668-nucleotide long non-coding RNA is filed under the name Chlamydomonas reinhardtii. RNAcentral's name for it is "long non-coding RNA (CREI_LNC000893)". The record is from RNAcentral. Lineage: Eukaryota; Viridiplantae; Chlorophyta; Chlorophyceae; Chlamydomonadales; Chlamydomonadaceae.
UCGAUCAGGUUGGGCGAUGCGGCAGUGCGUCCGCCGGCAGCAGGUGAGUGAUGGCAUGGUGAGGAAUGGGAUUGAUGGGGUCAGAGCCGCAGCAGGCCGCAAGGGAAGGUGCACGCGUACGUGAAGGCUGACAGGCGUGUGCCGGCUGCAUCACUGCAUGCAUGCCUGCUGUCCCAACCCCAGCCUGCAGCACCAUCCACACGUCUGACAUCGUACAUGCCACCCGCCGCUCACCCGUGAAGAUGAGUCCUCCCACGGACAGCCAGGGGCAUACCACGCUGUACGGCGGUCCAUCCUGGUACAUGCGGCAGCUGUUGAAGGACACCUUGCUGUCGUAGCCGGGCUUGCCCCAGCCGCCUGAGAAGUGAGAACCAAGCAGCAGGGGGGCCGCGGGCGGAAAGAAAGGGAGCGUGAGGAAGGGGCGACGAAUAAAGCGACACGCACGUGUUGUGCGUGUGUAGAGGAGCAGAGCGAGCUGAAAGUAGAGUUCCUGACCCUUGCCAGCCAGGUGGACGGGGACCUCGCAGGUAGGCGGACGCCCGGGUGUACGGACGCACCGUGCACGUAGGGUAUGCCAAGGUUCAGGCUGAGCAGGGUGGGGUAGGGCGCGGCCACAAUGACACCCAUGUCCUUGACGCCCACGAACGAGAUGAAGCAGCCGAUGCCCG